UCUGGUUCCGUGAAGGAGUUAGUGUGGUGCGAGCGAGGCACCAAGGCUGGGGAGCUCUAACUCAGGGAGGGACAGAACAUGUAUAUGAGUGGAUGGUCGAGGAGGACCAAUGGGCUUUUCAGAAGCGUUGUUGAGCAGACGAACUCGAAGGUAGGUCAGUGUGGCAUGUGAUGCCAAGGCCGUGGGUGGCUCUAGUCUGGAAGAGUAGUAUUGCUAGCAACGGAGUUUGAAGAAGUGGUGGAGCAUCGACGAGGACGUUGAUGGUUCAAGUGGGGGAGCCUGUCACGGGUCGAUCGCUGGGACUCGACCGUGACACCUUUGGGGGCCACAUUUGGUAGGCACUUGGGUUGACGAAGUUAUGGAGUUGCGGAGUUGAGGCGUUCCAUCAGGAUGGAGUCGCUGUCAAAUCAACAGAGGUAAUUCCCUAGCAAUGGCCCGUGCCAUGACAUGAAAAUAGGUGCCGCAUGCGGGGGCUCAAAACGUACCCGUCGGUGAGCACCUUUGUACCACCGGGGUACCAAAGGGGUGGAUGCCUCGUUGGGUAUAUAGAGGAGGGGUGGACACUUCGUAAGUAGCCCCGACUCCCUCGUCGGCCCAUAGGACAUGGGUCGUCCCUUGGCUAGCGGAGUGGCCAAGCCUAGCGUUCCGUGUGACCGGGUAUUGGACGGUUGGAGGGACACGGGCCUAGUGUAAUGUCGGAGAUGCGAGAGGUCGACGACAUUACGGAGCGGGGUAUACCGGGAGGCUUUCUCCUAGGAUCGUUUGCGCUACUUUAUGCCGAUUUGGAUCUCUAUAGUGGAGCAUACGAGCGGAUGAGGGAUAGUCUAGCGACGGAUGGUCCUCUGUAAAGGACAAGGCUCGCGAAGGCAAGUGUGCUUAGCCGGGAUUCGUGGGGCGCGGCGCCCACGAAGGCCAAUGAGGCGGAACUCAAUAGGAGCGCUAAAAGGAGGCACGCCGAGGGAGAAUUCGUAUGACGGGAGGUCUACGAGAUUCGAGGGGCGGAACCUAAUGAGACAAGCGGUAUCGGUAUCCGUAUAGUGAACCUUGAUGGACUGGACCAAUGGUGUGAACGGCCAGGCGUGGUCGAGCCAAGGACGGGGCUAGUGGCUAGCGAUGCGGAGUGAGGCCGGUUCGUUUGUAUGGGGCCUUAUGAGGCGAACCUAUGGGAGUCGAGGGCGC
RNAcentral lists this long non-coding RNA (1179 nucleotides) under Ananas comosus (pineapple). Its description in RNAcentral is "long non-coding RNA (ACOM_LNC019857)". The record is from RNAcentral. Lineage: Eukaryota; Viridiplantae; Streptophyta; Magnoliopsida; Poales; Bromeliaceae.